GGAUUUUGUAAGAAAAAAGUAUUUAGCCAUCACUGUACUUGUUUUAUCAUUGCACUCACCCCAUCUCCAUUAUUUUGGUUAAAGCAAAGGAAUGUAUGCUUGUGGCACAACAGCCUUUAAAUAUUCUGUGAAUAAAGAUAAGUGACUUUAAACACCAGGGAAGGGUGCAUCUUUCCUGAAUGUUGCCCCAAUGGUGUCAUGAAGUUGAGAGAUUGGCAGGUUUUGAAACCUACAGAACAUAUGGUGGGACUUGGGAGGAUUGUUACAAAGAACACCUUCCACACCACAGUUUACUGUGGAUUUGGUUCUGUUCAGGCACUCAAGCUUUGUGAAAUGUCCCUAUGGCACUGUCCUCAUCAAAAUGCUAUUCCAUAUCCCCACCCCGAAUUUAAUCCCAAUGUAUCCAGCAUUGGUCCUUAUUAAUUUUUUUGUUGGAUUAGCAUUUUUAUGUAUUGUGUACAGCUAGUGUUUUAAAUUUUCUUUGGCUUUAAAUUCUUUUCAUGUGCUUUUUUUUGUCUAGUCACUUUGAGACUUUUUACUGUAAAAAGCAACUAAUAAAUAAAAAAAAAUAGUAAGAGUAAAACUUCAAUGUUGUACAAAGGUAAUCGCUCCAGCAGGGCAAGUAUUUUGUCUUGCCAGACGGAACAUUUCCCCUUCUCCCCCCCCCCAUGUGCUGUUUCAGGGUUCUCCUGACACCCCCCCCACCAUGGGGGGGGUGUUUUGCAGAAGGAGAGAAGAGGAAAGCCAAGUUGCACAAGAGGAAGUCCUUGCACAGGUUUCUGCUGACAGGACUGUUUAGCUGAAUCUGCCCCCCCCCCAAAUAAUAAUUUACCAUUUCGCUUUAUUAUUUUAAAAUGAAGCACUUCCAGAUGACCUGUUUAUUGAGCAUUCAUCCUGAUUUGUUUGAGGGCGAGGCUAGAUGACACUGCGUUGAACACAGACGGAUUUAUAAUGGUGCAAACGUUGCAAUUGCAAGAGGGCCUGUGCCUGCAAGGGAUUCCAGACAUAGAGAUUUCAAUGAAAAAGAAGAAACAACCCUUUAGCCCUAGUAGAAGGAAAGUUACAAAGCAAAGUGUAUAGUUUCCGUUCAUUCUGAUUGGACAGUGGGCAGAUCCACACCAUAUAUAUAUAUUUACAAAUUUCCAAAAAUCAUAUAACAUACUUUCUUAUCUUAUACAAUGUUUUGGACUUCCAUCAACCGCAUCUGAAGAUUUUUCAGUCUUUAUCACUUAAUCUACAUUUCUUAAUUUCUCUAUUGCUUUUAAUUAUCCUUAACUAAUAACUCUCUUCAUAAUCUCUGCAAUACGUCACAUAAUCCUCCUUACAGAACUUCUUGGAGUCCUACUAGCGUAAUCUGUUUAUUACAAUUGCUUUUCAAAUAGUUCAAAUAUUUCCUCCAGUCCUCUGAGAAUCUCUGAUCCCGCAGGAUUUGGAUCCUUCCUGUCAUCUUAUCUAAUUCUGCAUAGUCCAUUAAUUUUGUCUGCCAUUUUUCUUUCGUCGGUAGGUCUUCUUGUUUCCAUUUCUGUGGCAGAUCCACACCAUAUAUUUAAUGCACAUUUAACGCCCCAGAGGAUCCUGUGAAUUGUAGUUUGUUAAUGUAACUGAGAAUUGUAGCUCUAUGCAAGGACAACUACACUCCCCAGGAUUCUGUGGGGGGAUUUGUGUGCUUUAAAUGUGCAUUCGUUACGCUUUAAAUGCAUGGUGUGGAUUUGCCCUUAUUUGUGGGGAGGUUAGACACUGGGGCCCAUCCAGACUUCCUUUUGUGCUGUGUUUCUGGGCUUUAAAGCUCCAUGUCUGAGCUUUCCCUAGGAAAACCAGAGUAAAAGGAUGUCUGGAUGAGCCCAGCGCUGUGUUAUCCCCACAUUUUCCAGUGCAUUUUCCUCUCACUUUUCUUAUUUGGGUGUGCAUGUUUGUUUUGCAGGAUCUCCCAAUCCACUGUAACUGUGAGAUUUGAAUUUGCCAGUAUGCGACUGAAUCCCACCCCAAAAUAAUGGCAGUCUGGAAGUGCCAUUAGCGAAUUUUCUGCAGAAACAGUAAAUCCAGAUUCAGCUGGAAAAGCACAUGGGGCGUUUUGAUGAAGAUGGUGCUGUGCAAGGGCUGUGCAAGACUUGUGUGCGUGAAUAGCACCGAGACCGCAAUGAACUGUACGUGAGGAAAGGCUAGGAAGCAGAGAACCGAGAAGGCGAGGAAGGACGGAGCAGAGGACAGGCUCAGCCAAAGAGGUGUGGGUCACCGAAGAAGGAGGGUGACAACUUAUACUCCAUUCUGAGCUGAUGGGAAGACAAUGAGCCAUAACGGGUCCAUGUAGCCAAUCGUGGACUCACAUGGCAAGCGGUGUGCUCUGUAACAAUGCGUAACAACAUCGCAAUGCCUCUGUGCCUCAGGAAAUAACACAUGGAUGAAUGUGGCCAAUAAGACAUCGCACAGCACAUGGAAUGACAUUGCAUAAUGACACAUGAUGUCAAGGUGGUACUGAGAGUCGAGGGCUUCCGAAGGAUUCAAACAAUCCACAAUUCAAGGGUAGGCGGGUAGGGAGCUUUUAUUUUGGGGGGGGGAGAGGGACAUGGAUUCAUGCUAGUGAGUGAAUGGCAGAGUACAUUCCCCAGUAUAGAGCAGGAAGCUCGUUGGUAGAUUUGUUUGAAUCUCUUUACUUAAGCAAUCUAAUCUGGCUUGUCCAGAUUGGGUUUGUUCCUGGUAAAUCACCUUUGUUCCCUCUUAAAAAGAAUAAAGACACAACAGUCUUCUAUUAAAAGUAAUGAUAAGAAGUUUACUCACAUUCAGUUCACA
Molecule: non-coding RNA, 2787 nt
Organism: Podarcis lilfordi (Lilford's wall lizard)
Lineage: Eukaryota; Metazoa; Chordata; Lepidosauria; Squamata; Lacertidae
Source: the annotation of a GenBank genome assembly